CCCUUUGUAUUCGUACGAAGGUGUCCUAGUGGCGAACGGGUGAGUAACGCGUUGGUGACCUGCCCCGAAGUUUGGGAUAACCCCGCGAAAGCGGGGCUAAUACCAAAUGUGGUCAUCGGAUUUAGAAACCGAUGUCUAAAGGAUUUAUUCGCUUCGGGAGGGGCCUGCGUCCCAUCAGCUAGUUGGUAGGGUAACGGCCUACCAAGGCUACGACGGGUAGGGGACCUCAGAGGGUGGCCCCCCACAAUGGAACUGAAACACGGUCCAU
RNAcentral lists this ribosomal RNA (268 nucleotides) under uncultured bacterium. Its description in RNAcentral is "partial 16S ribosomal RNA". It matches the Rfam family "Bacterial small subunit ribosomal RNA", at positions 70 to 334 of the family's 1533-position model. The record is from RNAcentral.